GAAUUUAUCCUGCUUCAAAGUGAUAAAUCUAAUUUAAUUUUCAAUUUCAAAGAGCCUACCAAAAUCACUAAUUUUGUCAACAUACACUCUGAAAAUCUUCUUAUUGAAUUUGUUAAGGGUGAACUCUUCAAAUUUGAUUUAACCGUCCAUUUUGCGAAAAUUUAUUUUGAGCCUCCCCUCGAAAUGGGUUCAGACUCGGGCCUUGGACUUAUUAGUUAUUAGUACUAUUAUUUGUAUUUUAUUUUCUUUUUUUUAUACAUAAAUAAUUUCCUUUUAUUGGGCUUUGGCCAUCUAUUUUGGGCUCAUAUAGUUUCAUAUAUAUUUUAUUAUUUUAUUAAUUAAAAAAUUCAAAAAGUAGAAAAUUACAAAAAUAUCCCUUAAGCUUUACACAUUUUACAAUUGGAUCUGUAGACCCAAUAGCACUAGCUGGGCAUCAUUGCCAUACCAACGUUGCCAUGGCCACUCCCUCACACCAUUUCGCUUCACCAUCCUCACCAGCCACCAACUCCCAUCGGCUAUCCCUUGGCCAUACCCUACUCACCAAUUUCACCAAAGUCCCACGCCAAGCUUUUGUUAUAAGCACAUGCAAAGAAGAAAAAUAAGGUUAGCUGCAAUUUGGGAAUUGAAAGAAGAAAAAGAGAGAACAAAUUUUUUCAGCUUCCUUCAAUAUACAACACCAUUAGCCACUAACACACCACCAACACAUUAACCCCUCUCAAUCACCAUCUCUCGGCUCCCUUGCGCCUCUACCAAAAACCCCUUGACCACCCCUAUUGCCGCCAUCAAAGCCACCAUUCUCCAGUCCCCGUAACUAACCUACCCACCAUUAGCCCUUUAAUGAGCCAUCACAGAAACACCACCUUAAACCCAACAAACCAAAUAACCAAAUCACAAAAUGCUAAUAAACCAACAGCCAAAAUAAUAUAAAAAAAUAGGCUUGUCUUCCCCAUGUAAGAUCAAGAUCGGAGCCUCGAGACCUAGUCUGGCAAUCUGAACGAUAACGUGGCAUAUUCAACUAAGGGGAACGACAUAUCAACAACAAACGAUGCUCAAACAGCUGUAGACGAUGACUUCAAGGUUAGAAAGUAAAGACGACGAUAAAAAAGAAAAAGAAGCAAGAGGCUGGGUAGCAUGCACGUUGGCCAAAGGUGAGGUCACUAAAAGCAGUGGAUCGGUUCAUGAUGUGCGACGAUCUGAAACAGUGAGGAAAAUAGUAGAAUAGAGAAUAAGAAUAAGAAGAAGAGAGAAACAAGGGGAGAAAGUUUAUCGCAUAUGGUUGUUUGCAUUUUCUCGUGCUUACACAGCAAAUAAAAAGAGAAAAACAAAUGGAA
Molecule: long non-coding RNA, 1331 nt
Filed under: Gossypium barbadense (sea-island cotton)
Lineage: Eukaryota; Viridiplantae; Streptophyta; Magnoliopsida; Malvales; Malvaceae
Description: long non-coding RNA (GBAR_LNC009550)
Source: RNAcentral